Molecule: ribosomal RNA, 68 nt
Filed under: Oscheius dolichura
Lineage: Eukaryota; Metazoa; Nematoda; Chromadorea; Rhabditida; Rhabditidae
Description: partial 28S ribosomal RNA
Source: RNAcentral
AGUAUAAAGUAAAUCUGUAAUGACUUAUGGAUCUUAAGCUUUGCUUCCUGAUGUCAGUCGUGAUUACC